RNAcentral lists this small nucleolar RNA (210 nucleotides) under Sciurus vulgaris (Eurasian red squirrel). RNAcentral describes it as "Small nucleolar RNA U3 (ENSSVLG00005016896.1)". It matches the Rfam family "Small nucleolar RNA U3". Rfam says of the family: Small nucleolar RNAs (snoRNAs) are involved in the processing and modification of rRNA in the nucleolus. Lineage: Eukaryota; Metazoa; Chordata; Mammalia; Rodentia; Sciuridae. The record is from Rfam by way of RNAcentral.
AAGACUGUAUUUUCAAGGAUCAUUUCUAUAAUCUGUUAACUGCUGAAGUGUUCUGAGUGUGUAAGCUCCUGGUAACCUUGAAGAUGAGCACAGUGUUUCCUCCUGAGCACAGGUUGGCCUGUGGUGUUGCCUGGUGGCAGCUGCCUCUUCUCCUCAAUAAUUGGUUUUCCUUUCUUUUGGGAAAAAGAGAGAGAGCACAGGUAGAGCAGU